Non-coding RNA from Pelobates cultripes (western spadefoot toad), 213 nucleotides. The record is from the annotation of a GenBank genome assembly. Lineage: Eukaryota; Metazoa; Chordata; Amphibia; Anura; Pelobatidae.
CUAAAACACUACCUGCACUUACUUCAUACAUGGAGUAGAAUUAUUUUUCUUCACUCGCCAAUAUUUAGUCGAGAACAGAACUUUAGGGACUGGGGUAAAAAUGUGACAAGAAGCCUUAUGUUUCCAUUCAUCCACUUAUGUUAUUGUCUUUUGUGUGAUUUUUUUAACACAGGUGUUUUACACAGGCUUUAAUCACUAAAUUGUUUGUUGCCC